AUGGUUGACGGUCAUGUGAAAACAAGAGAGGGAAUGAAAAGUUAAGAUGUUUUUCAUAGUUUUUCAAAUAACUCUAUUGAGAUUUGACUUUUUAGCCUUGUUUUCUCUUUCUCAUACGUUUUAACAUAAAAUGAAAACUAACAGACAACUCACAAAAGUAAAAAAGAGAGCCUGAGAAGAUCAUUGCUGCCAUUUAUCCAAAGUGAUUUUAAAAAAGAGCAGAGAUAAAGUAGAAAAACACUCGGAGAGCGCAGACCUCCGCCAAACCAGCAGGAGCAGCACUACGACGACGACGAC
Molecule: long non-coding RNA, 297 nt
Organism: Octopus bimaculoides (California two-spot octopus)
Lineage: Eukaryota; Metazoa; Mollusca; Cephalopoda; Octopoda; Octopodidae
Source: RefSeq, a predicted model, not a curated record